UNUGACUUGAGUGCAGAAGGGGAGAGUGGAAUUCCAUGUGUAGCGGUGAAAUGCGUAGAUAUAUGGAGGAACACCAGUGGCGAAAGCGGCUCUCUGGUCUGUCACUGACGCUGAGGCUCGAAAGCGUGGGUAGCGAACAGGAUUAGAUACCCUGGUAGUNCACGCCGUAAACGAUGAGUGCUAGGUGUUAGGCCCUUUCCGGGGCUUAGUGCCGGAGCUAACGCAAUAAGCACUCCGCCUGGGGAGUACGACCGCAAGGUUGAAACUCAAAGGAAUUGACGGGGGCCCGCACAAGCGGUGGAGCAUGUGGUUUAAUUCGAAGCAACGCGAAGAACCUUACCAGGUCUUGACAUCCCGAUGCUAUUCUUAGAGAUAGGAAGUUACUUCGGUACAUCGGAGACAGGUGGUGCAUGGUUGUCGUCAGCUCGUGUCGUGAGAUGUUGGGUUAAGUCCCGCAACGAGCGCAACCCUUAUUGUUAGUUGCCAUCAUUAAGUUGGGCACUCUAGCGAGACUGCCGGUAAUAAACCGGAGGAAGGUGGGGAUGACGUCAAAUCAUCAUGCCCCUUAUGACCUGGGCUACACACGUGCUACAAUGGUCGGUACAACGAGUUGCGAGCCGGUGACGGCAAGCUAAUCUCUGAAAGCCGAUCUCAGUUCGGAUUGGAGGCUGCAACUCGCCUCCAUGAAGUCGGAAUCGCUAGUAAUCGCGGAUCAGCACGCCGCGGUGAAUACGUUCCCGGGCCUUGUACACAC
RNAcentral lists this ribosomal RNA (754 nucleotides) under uncultured bacterium. RNAcentral describes it as "bacterial SSU rRNA". It matches the Rfam family "Bacterial small subunit ribosomal RNA", at positions 636 to 1390 of the family's 1533-position model. The record is from RNAcentral.